Non-coding RNA from Chelonoidis abingdonii (Abingdon island giant tortoise), 788 nucleotides. The record is from RefSeq and is a predicted model, not a curated record. Lineage: Eukaryota; Metazoa; Chordata; Testudines; Testudinidae.
GCAGGUUCUGUGGCUGUCUCUAGUGGUGUCCUGUGCUAGCAUUGGGUCCAGGAAAAAAAAAAUACUACACUAGACAGAGCAAAUGUCUUUUCCUCUCUCUACUCCCCCCAUGUCCAUCCAAUUUAUCAAUCACCACUUGUGUCCAAAAGACUUUGGUCCCCUGUGCAUCAGGUUUAUUUGUUGUUAGGUUUUAUUAAUACAUUUGUAUUGUUAGUUACAUUUUCUUGUAUUGUUAAUUCCACACUUUUCUCUAUGCACUCUGGUUCUACUUCCCCAAGCCCUAAAGGGUAGUUCUUGGGCCCCCAUAACCUGUAAGAACUUGGCCCAUAAUUGCAGGGCCCCAUCUUUCAGGUCCCCAAAAACCUCUUAAGUACAACUGUUAAAAAUAGGGAAUUCUGCAACAUUUUAGCAACUAAAUGUUAGUUUAAGUCCAAAUCAGCUUAAUCUUGCAUGACAACUGUAGUCCUCCUACAAAAUCUUAUUUGUUGUGUGUGCUUAAGGAGGUCCUGACCUCAGUAACUUUUAUUGUUUGAUGGCUAUUGCAGCAUCAAACUUGGGCCUCAUCCUAUUUGUCAAUGUACCCAAUUAUUGUAAUGGUUAUGGUUUUAUUGUAUUUCCAAUUAAUAUAACUAUAAUUGUUUGAAUUUGUGUUUAGGUUAUAUCUGGUGUUUAGUCAGUUGUAAUGGUUUUAGUUAUAUUCACCUGGUUAUAAUUGUUUGGUUUGUUUGCAACAGAUCACCUGUGCUCUACCAUGACAACUACUGUAAUGAUCAUAGAUCAAGGGGCAG